AAGCAACGCCGCGUGAGUGAAGAAGGUUUUCGGAUCGUAAAACUCUGUUGUUAGAGAAGAACAAGGACGAAAGUAACUGUUCAUCCCUUGACGGUAUCUAACCAGAAAGCCACGGCUUCUACGUGCCAGCAGCCGCGGUAAUAAGCUCGG
This 150-nucleotide ribosomal RNA is filed under the name uncultured bacterium. RNAcentral describes it as "partial 16S ribosomal RNA". It matches the Rfam family "Bacterial small subunit ribosomal RNA", at positions 389 to 531 of the family's 1533-position model. The record is from RNAcentral.